AAUCAGUUCAGCACUAAGUCACUUUGUCUUUAUGGCAAAUGUGAGAUGCAGUGUAUGGAAUGUUCAAUUUCUAGUAUGAGAAAUUAACGAUUUAAGUCCUUCUUAAAUGAGGCCAUUUACCCAUAGAGGGUGCCAGGCCCGUAUAACGUUAAUGAUUACUAGAGAACAUUUCCAAAGAGUCGUGUUGCUUGAUAGUGCAGCACUAAGAGGGUGGUAAACUCCAUCUAAAACUAAAUAUAACCAUGAGACCGAUAGUAAACAAGUACCGUGAGGGAAAGUUGAAAAGAACUCUGAAUAGAGAGUUAAAUAGUACGUGAAACUGCUUAGAGGUUAAGCCCGAUGAACCUGAAUAUCCAUUAUGGAAAAUUCACCGCUACGAUUGUGAUAUUUAUAAAAUAUUAUAAGAAUGGCGUGCAUUUUUUCCAUAUAAGGACAUUGUAAUCUAUUAACAUAGAAACAUUUAUCAAAAGAUCAAUGGCUUUAGUUUAUUCGAAUUAUUUCGCUUGCGAUUUAACAUAGAAUAAAUGCUGUUGAUUUGAUAAAGUGUUGAUAGAUUUAUUUCAAAUAUAGUGCUCAAAUAUAUUUAUAUAUUUUAUAAUAGCAUAUUAAUAAUUUAUUUUUAUGUUUAUUAUAUGCACUUAUAUGAUUAACAAUGCGAAAGAUUCAGGAUACCUUCGGGACCCGUCUUGAAACACGGACCAAGGAGUCUAACAUAUUUGCAAGUUAUUGGGAAUUAAAAAACCUAAUAGCGAAAUUAACAUGACUUUAUUAUAAUGGGAUUAGUUUUUAUUCUAUUUAUAGUUUAUUAAUUCAAUCCCGGGGCGUUCUAUCAGUUAUGUCUAAUAGUAUUUAUAUUAUUUAGAUCUCUAACUAGAGCGUACCUUGAGCAUAUAUGCUGUGACCCGAAAGAUGGUGAACUAUACUUGAUCAGGUUGAAGUCAGGGGAAACCCUG
RNAcentral lists this ribosomal RNA (953 nucleotides) under Hydrotaea cyrtoneurina. RNAcentral describes it as "eukaryotic LSU rRNA". It matches the Rfam family "Eukaryotic large subunit ribosomal RNA", at positions 102 to 866 of the family's 3401-position model. The record is from RNAcentral. Lineage: Eukaryota; Metazoa; Arthropoda; Insecta; Diptera; Muscidae.